AUGGCUUCAGGAGGUGCAGCCGCUCUCACUCUGAAGCUGGCCGUCGUCGCCGCCGUUCUCGCCCUGCUGGUCAUACCUUCCUUAGGACGCUGUCCGUCCCGUGGUCCGGCACCACCACCGCCAACGCACGCGCCGCCGUCACCGCUGGAGGCGAUACCACCAUCACCACCGGCGCAGGCGCCGCCGCCACCACUAGAGGCGAUACCGCCAGCCCCCGCGCCGGGUCCACCUCUCACAUGUGAUAUCUGUAACAUAGAGUGCUUCUCGGAUUGCAUGUACUCAUACCGUGAUACCAGCGGCAUGACCUGCGAUGAGACAUGCGGCAACGAAAAGAGCCGCUGCGACCAGUGCGUCACCCCCGAGAUGGAGGAGUGCAGGGCCACCUGCACCGGCAGCUGUGACUGCUUCGCCCUCGCCGAAGCCCCCGAGUCGUGCCGCGACGACUGCUUCUCACAUGCAUGCCAACUCUCCUGGUCCAGACGUGACAAGUAUUGCCAGUACGAGUGCAACAACGACUACUGCUUCGGGAACCACUGCUAUGGACCAUAG
This 549-nucleotide ribosomal RNA is filed under the name Triticum aestivum (bread wheat). RNAcentral's name for it is "partial small subunit ribosomal RNA". Lineage: Eukaryota; Viridiplantae; Streptophyta; Magnoliopsida; Poales; Poaceae. The record is from RNAcentral.